RNAcentral lists this long non-coding RNA (418 nucleotides) under Mus spicilegus (steppe mouse). RNAcentral describes it as "lncRNA (ENSMSIG00000009878.1)". Lineage: Eukaryota; Metazoa; Chordata; Mammalia; Rodentia; Muridae. The record is from RNAcentral.
AGCAACAAUAGGUCCCUGGUCCUGAAUUCAACUUCCAGAGAAGCACAUAAGAUCUUUAGUCAUGAGACUUUAGUUCUUUCUAUUCGUUUCAGAUCCCUGUCCAUGUCAGUAGGGUUCUAUUACAACAAGGGGCUUUAUUACAUCUUAUCCAACUGUUGGCAAGCCCUGCAUCUUAAACAGCACUGUUUUGUAAUAUAAAGAUGAGAGUGCUUCAUGGCAUCCUGAGAAGGGAAAGAGAAGGAAAUAUGUCAUCAUGAAAAGGCUUUCAAAACCUUCUCUGGCUGGACAGUUUCUUCUUCACAACGAUAACAUGGCCAUGUCUCUAUCAAUUAGAUUCUGUCCGUGUCUUCCAGUGUCACCUCUACAGGAGAAUGUAAACAGACAGGGAGAAGCUCCUCACACAGGGAUGUGGAUAUAG